Long non-coding RNA from Gallus gallus (chicken), 255 nucleotides. NCBI's taxonomy places the organism in Eukaryota, Metazoa, Chordata, Aves, Galliformes, Phasianidae. The record is from Ensembl.
GCCUGAAGACUGAAAAAGAAGAGUUUGCAUCCUCAGAUACAGCUGAAAUAACUUGUCUUCUUGGGCAGAGCGUCCAUAGAAGGAAGUAUUUAAAUAUUUAUGUCACUGGGGAAGCCAGAAAAUACCUGAACAAAACUCUCAUGUUGGCUGCAAUUUUUUUUCUCUUGCUUCAUUGCACAAAAGAGGAAAAAAAAUAUUGUGCAGAAAAGCUGGAGGGAUGAAACAUACAGUGCCAGUGUCCCUGUGCAAUCAUUU